This 224-nucleotide long non-coding RNA is filed under the name Mytilus galloprovincialis (Mediterranean mussel). Lineage: Eukaryota; Metazoa; Mollusca; Bivalvia; Mytilida; Mytilidae. The record is from RNAcentral.
AAACGCACUAAUGACUUUCAUUCAAUACACGUGUAAGAUUUGUUUCCCAUAUACAUGUACCAGGUCUAUAGCAAAACCAGAGUAUAUGUGAGAUAUAAAGUAAAUAAUAAAGAAUAUACCAAGAGUACAACCAAAACCAAACUAAAAACAACAAAAGUCCAACAAAAAACGACGAAAACAACCAAUGUAAUGAAACCGAACACAGAAAGAAAAAGAAAAAAAAA